This 497-nucleotide ribosomal RNA is filed under the name uncultured bacterium. RNAcentral describes it as "partial 16S ribosomal RNA". It matches the Rfam family "Bacterial small subunit ribosomal RNA", at positions 28 to 507 of the family's 1533-position model. The record is from RNAcentral.
GAUGAACGCUGGCGGCGUGCCUAAUACAUGCAAGUCGAGCGAACAGACGAGGAGCUUGCUCCUUUGACGUUAGCGGCGGACGGGUGAGUAACACGUAGGUAACCUACCUAUAAUACUGGGAUAACUUCGGGAAACCGGAGCUAAUACCGGAUAAUAUUUCGAACCGCAUGGUUCGAUAGUGAAAUAUGGCUUUGCUAUCACUUAUCGAUGGACCUGCGCCGUAUUAGCUAGUUGGUAAGGUAACGGCUUACCAAGGCAACGAUACGUAGCCGACCUGCGAGGGUGAUCGGCCACACUGGAACUGAGACACGGUCCAGACUCCUACGGGAGGCAGCAGUAGGGAAUCUUCCGCAAUGGGCGAAAGCCUGACGGAGCAACGCCGCGUGAGUGAUGAAGGUCUUCGGAUCGUAAAACUCUGUUAUUAGGGAAGAACAAACGUGUAAGUAACUGUGCACGUCUUGACGGUACCUAAUCAGAAAGCCACGGCUAACUACGUG